GGGGGGGGGGGGGGGGGGGGGGGGGGGGGGGGGGGGGGGGGGGGGGGGGGGGGGGGGGGGGGGGGGGGGGGGGGGGGGGGGGGGGGGGGGGGGGGGGGGGGGGGGGGGGCCCCCGCCCCUUUAAAUUAUUGUAAUGCCCUUCCUGAAAGAACGUGAACAUGCGUGCCUUUAUUUUUCUACUUCUCGAAAUGUUUUUAAGGAAAUCUAUUUUGUUAUCUGCUAUUUAUUAAAGAGUUUAUUCUGCAUACUUACCCGUGUAAAUUAUUUCCUUAUGUGCUAUUCAAUUUAUUUAAACUAAAGUGGUUAACUGAACUACCAUAAGCAGAUAAGCUGCCAUCGCGUGUUUUUACUUUGCUUUUCUGUGCAACACCACAGCACAGGUAUCGCCCGCACCUCCUGGCAAGGACAUUGUCCAAAAGGAACGUCGUUUAAUCUGAGGACAGGGGAAAAAAGCCUGGACGAUGGGUUUUUUGGGAGAGCUUUAGUAGGUUCUGUCAAACCCCUUGGGUACAACCCAUGUACCGCUAAGUCAGGAGCAGCACCCGAGGCAAUGAAAAUCCAGAGGGAAACGCCCUCGGGCCGACACCUCCCAAGGGCGGGGAAAGCCCCGAAGGCGUGUCUGGAAUUCCCUAUGGAAUGCGGGGUUCGGCCAAUAAUCCUUUGCCGUGUGAGCUCGGCCUCGCAGGAGGCAGGUGCCUUCAACAGCUCCUCACCCCCUGGCCCUGCUCCCCAUUUCACCCCUUCUGCUUUCUGCAGAAAUCCCUCUGUGGGACGAGGAGGUUUUUAGGACGUUUCUGUCCAAAGCUGCCGUGCUGCGUUACCCAAACAAUACGUGGAUCUGGAGAGAAAAGCCUGAGGAGGGAAAAAGGGCUCUAAGCAGCUGUUCUGUGCUGGUUUAACUAGAUUCCAGUAAGCUCAGCUCCAGUUUCUUUUUGGGGAUGGGGUAGUGGUAUCACUGCAGUGAAUUCAGGAGCAGAGCUUAUAACCAGGCUGCAGCGUUUGCCUUGGCUCCUGCUUAAAUUAAUCAACUCGGACAUUGCAGUACCUGAUGAGUGGAAGACUAGUGAAGCAGAUGGAAUAGUCAGUCAAUACGUCAAUAAUGUCAAUAUGCAAUAGUCAAUCAAAUGAAAUUUCGAUCAUAUAGAAGCACAAGUCCAUCAGAUAGAAUCUAUGCAAAAAAAUGAUUGUAAGAGUGCAUUUUGUAAUGGAGAGUGAGUACUUGGGUAUCGUAACUAGACUGACCAAAAACUUAAGAAAUUUUCACAGUUCUGUUAAGUCAGCCCUCCCACGUGUAAAACAGGUGCAUAAACUUUAAGUUCUUCCAUUUGGUAGCUUCCACUAAAUAAGGGAACCAAAACUUAAGCCACUAAAGCAGCAUCCAGGUUAUAAGGUUUGGUAAGGCUAAAAUCACCCUGAAAAUUGCUGGUUUUUCUCCCUCCUGGUGCGUUGCUAUUUGCCAUAGGCUCAGCGUAAUUUAUACUGCGGCUGAAUCAUCCCCAGUAAAAGAAUAAAAUUUAUUGGAAAUGGCUCGCCAGGAAGGUGGGGGCUUACCAUCCCUGAAGGUGUUUAAGGAACGACUGGACGCGGUCGGGGUGGCACGGUGAAGAUCUGUCAAAGAUUGGGACUCGGUGAUCUCAGAGGUCUUUCCUAACUUUAAUGCUUCAAAGGUGAGAAAAAGGUGAGAAAAUACGACCUGGGGACAGAUAACUCCAACAACACCAAUUCCCCUCAGGCACUGCAGCACGGGCUGCCGCACAGGGAGCGCCCCAAUAUGGCGGCGGGGGGGGGGGGGGGGGGGGGGGGGGGGGGGGGGGGGGGGGGGGGGGGGGGGGGGGGGGGGGGGGGGGGGGGGAAGCGGCCUCCCCGCCAAACUCUCGCGAGAUCCCGGCGAGGGCGCUUCCCGUCCCCACCUGUGCUCUCGCGAGAUCUCCGCUGAGGGACGAGGAGGAGGAGGAAGAGGAAGGAAGGAGGAGCUGCCACCGCCGCUCCCCCCGGCCGGGGGGGGGGGGGGGGGGGGGGGGGGGGGGGGGGGGGGGGGGGGGGGGGGGGGGGGGGGGGGGGGGGGGGGGGGGGGGGGGGGGGGGGGGGGGGG
This is a long non-coding RNA of Ficedula albicollis (Collared flycatcher), 2092 nucleotides long. NCBI's taxonomy places the organism in Eukaryota, Metazoa, Chordata, Aves, Passeriformes, Muscicapidae. The record is from Ensembl.